This 254-nucleotide ribosomal RNA is filed under the name uncultured bacterium. Its description in RNAcentral is "partial 16S ribosomal RNA". It matches the Rfam family "Bacterial small subunit ribosomal RNA", at positions 524 to 776 of the family's 1533-position model. The record is from RNAcentral.
UACGGGGGGCGCAAGCGUUGUUCGGAUUUACUGGGCGUAAAGGGCGCGUAGGCGGCCACCGCAAGUCAAUUGGGAAAUCUCCGGGCUUAACUCGGAAAGGUCAACUGAUACUGCGGGGCUAGAGUGCGGAAGGGGCAACUGGAAUUCUCGGUGUAGCGGUGAAAUGCGUAGAUAUCGAGAGGAACACCUGCGGCGAAGGCGGGUUGCUGGGCCGACACUGACGCUGAGGCGCGAAAGCCAGGGGAGCGAACGGG